This 472-nucleotide ribosomal RNA is filed under the name uncultured bacterium. RNAcentral's name for it is "bacterial SSU rRNA". It matches the Rfam family "Bacterial small subunit ribosomal RNA", at positions 8 to 507 of the family's 1533-position model. The record is from RNAcentral.
AGAGUUUGAUCAUGGCUCAGGAUGAACGCUGGCGGCGUGCCUAACACAUGCAAGUCGAGCGAUCUUCUUCGGAAGAGAGCGGCGGACGGGUGAGUAACGCGUGGGUAACCUGCCUCAUACACAUGGAUAACAUACCGAAAGGUAUGCUAAUACAAGAUGAUAUAAGGGAUUCGCAUGGAUUUCUUAUCAAAGCUCCGGCGGUAUGAGAUGGACCCGCGUCUGAUUAGCUAGUUGGUAAGGUAACGGCUUACCAAGGCGACGAUCAGUAGCCGACCUGAGAGGGUGAUCGGCCACAUUGGAACUGAGACACGGUCCAAACUCCUACGGGAGGCAGCAGUGGGGAAUAUUGCACAAUGGGCGAAAGCCUGAUGCAGCAACGCCGCGUGAGCGAUGAAGGCCUUCGGGUCGUAAAGCUCUGUCCUCAAGGAAGAUAAUGACGGUACUUGAGGAGGAAGCCCCGGCUAACUACGUG